GCGCCCAUGGUGGAAUUGGCAGACACGCUAGAUUUAGGUUCUAGUGGGAGACCGUGGGGGUUCAAGUCCCUCUGGGCGCACCA
This 83-nucleotide transfer RNA is filed under the name Candidatus Colimonas fimequi. Its description in RNAcentral is "tRNA-Leu". It matches the Rfam family "tRNA". From Rfam's summary of the family: Transfer RNA (tRNA) molecules are approximately 80 nucleotides in length. Their secondary structure includes four short double-helical elements and three loops (D, anti-codon, and T loops). Further hydrogen bonds mediate the characteristic L-shaped molecular structure. tRNAs have two regions of fundamental functional importance: the anti-codon, which is responsible for specific mRNA codon recognition, and the 3' end, to which the tRNAs corresponding amino acid is attached (by aminoacyl-tRNA synthetases). tRNAs cope with the degeneracy of the genetic code in two manners: having more than one tRNA (with a specific anti-codon) for a particular amino acid; and 'wobble' base-pairing, i.e. permitting non-standard base-pairing at the 3rd anti-codon position. Lineage: Bacteria; Bacillati; Bacillota; Clostridia; Peptostreptococcales; Anaerovoracaceae. The record is from RNAcentral.